This 301-nucleotide ribosomal RNA is filed under the name uncultured bacterium. RNAcentral describes it as "partial 16S ribosomal RNA". It matches the Rfam family "Bacterial small subunit ribosomal RNA", at positions 509 to 807 of the family's 1533-position model. The record is from RNAcentral.
CAGUCGCCGCGGUAAUACAGAGGGUGCGAGCGUUAAUCGGAUUUACUGGGCGUAAAGCGUGCGUAGGCGGCUUCUUAAGUCGGAUGUGAAAUCCCUGAGCUUAACUUAGGAAUUGCAUUCGAUACUGGGAAGCUAGAGUAUGGGAGAGGAUGGUAGAAUUCCAGGUGUAGCGGUGAAAUGCGUAGAGAUCUGGAGGAAUACCGAUGGCGAAGGCAGCCAUCUGGCCUAAUACUGACGCUGAGGCACGAAAGCAUGGGGAGCAAACAGGAUUAGAUACCCCCGUAGUCCCUGUCUCUUAUAC